Molecule: non-coding RNA, 110 nt
Organism: Xylaria palmicola
Lineage: Eukaryota; Fungi; Ascomycota; Sordariomycetes; Xylariales; Xylariaceae
Source: the annotation of a GenBank genome assembly
GCCCCUGUGACGCAGUGGUUUAGCGUGCCGUUCUUAUACUCUCUUUGGGGUCCUCCGAAGCUUGUAUGACUGAAAUGCGGAAGCCGUGAGUUCGAUCCUCACCAGGGGCA